UACGUAGGGACCGAGCGUUGUCCGGAAUCAUUGGGCGUAAAGAGCGUGUAGGCGGCCUUUUAAGUCCUGCGUGAAAUCCUGCGGCUCAACCGCAGACGGUCGUGGGAAACUGGAAGGCUAGAGUGCGGGAGAGGAGAGUGGAAUUCCCGGUGUAGCGGUGAAAUGCGCAGAUAUCUGGAGGAACACCGGUGGCGAAGGCGGCAUCCUGGACCGACACUGACGCUGAGGAGCGAAAGCCAGGGGAGCAAACGGG
This 253-nucleotide ribosomal RNA is filed under the name uncultured bacterium. RNAcentral's name for it is "partial 16S ribosomal RNA". It matches the Rfam family "Bacterial small subunit ribosomal RNA", at positions 524 to 776 of the family's 1533-position model. The record is from RNAcentral.